Molecule: microRNA precursor, 88 nt
Filed under: Chlorocebus sabaeus (green monkey)
Lineage: Eukaryota; Metazoa; Chordata; Mammalia; Primates; Cercopithecidae
Description: miRNA (ENSCSAG00000020625.1)
Source: RNAcentral
UUUCGAAGGCCAAGGCGGGAGGAUCACUUGAGCCCAGAAAUCUGAGACCAGUCUGGGCAACAAAGUGAGACCCCCAUCUCUACAAAAA